This 73-nucleotide transfer RNA is filed under the name Camelus bactrianus (Bactrian camel). It matches the Rfam family "tRNA". From Rfam's summary of the family: Transfer RNA (tRNA) molecules are approximately 80 nucleotides in length. Their secondary structure includes four short double-helical elements and three loops (D, anti-codon, and T loops). Further hydrogen bonds mediate the characteristic L-shaped molecular structure. tRNAs have two regions of fundamental functional importance: the anti-codon, which is responsible for specific mRNA codon recognition, and the 3' end, to which the tRNAs corresponding amino acid is attached (by aminoacyl-tRNA synthetases). tRNAs cope with the degeneracy of the genetic code in two manners: having more than one tRNA (with a specific anti-codon) for a particular amino acid; and 'wobble' base-pairing, i.e. permitting non-standard base-pairing at the 3rd anti-codon position. Lineage: Eukaryota; Metazoa; Chordata; Mammalia; Artiodactyla; Camelidae. The record is from Rfam by way of RNAcentral. RNAcentral also lists the same sequence under 2 other names.
GAGGGUAUAGCUCAAGUGGUAGAGUGCUUAAUUAGCAUGCACAAGGUCCUGGGUUCAAUCCCCAGUAUCUCCU